GGGAAAGGGGGGGGCUUGCUCCUGAUGUUAGCGGCGGACGGGUGAGUAACACGUGGGUAACCUGCCUGUAAGACUGGGAUAACUCCGGGAAACCGGGGCUAAUACCGGAUGGUUGUUUGAACCGCAUGGUUCAAACAUAAAAGGUGGCUUCGGCUACCACUUACAGAUGGACCCGCGGCGCAUUAGCUAGUUGGUGAGGUAACGGCUCACCAAGGCAACGAUGCGUAGCCGACCUGAGAGGGUGAUCGGCCACACUGGGACUGAGACACGGCCCAGACUCCUACGGGAGGCAGCAGUAGGGAAUCUUCCGCAAUGGACGAAAGUCUGACGGAGCAACGCCGCGUGAGUGAUGAAGGUUUUCGGAUCGUAAAGCUCUGUUGUUAGGGAAGAACAAGUACCGUUCGAAUAGGGCGGUACCUUGACGGUACCUAACCAGAAAGCCACGGCUAACUACGUGCCAGCAGCCGCGGUAAUACGUAGGUGGCAAGCGUUGUCCGGAAUUAUUGGGCGUAAAGGGCUCGCAGGCGGUUUCUUAAGUCUGAUGUGAAAGCCCCCGGCUCAACCGGGGAGGGUCAUUGGAAACUGGGGAACUUGAGUGCAGAAGAGGAGAGUGGAAUUCCACGUGUAGCGGUGAAAUGCGUAGAGAUGUGGAGGAACACCAGUGGCGAAGGCGACUCUCUGGUCUGUAACUGACGCUGAGGAGCGAAAGCGUGGGGAGCGAACAGGAUUAGAUACCCUGGUAGUCCACGCCGUAACGAUGAGUGCUAGUGUUAGGGGGUUUCCGCCCCUAUGCCUGCAGCUACGCAAUUAAGCACUCGCCUGGGGAUACGGUCGCUAGACUGAACUCAAGGGAAAUUGACCGGG
This 864-nucleotide ribosomal RNA is filed under the name Bacillus subtilis. RNAcentral's name for it is "bacterial SSU rRNA". It matches the Rfam family "Bacterial small subunit ribosomal RNA", at positions 66 to 918 of the family's 1533-position model. The record is from RNAcentral. Lineage: Bacteria; Bacillati; Bacillota; Bacilli; Caryophanales; Bacillaceae.